This 469-nucleotide ribosomal RNA is filed under the name uncultured bacterium. RNAcentral's name for it is "partial 16S ribosomal RNA". It matches the Rfam family "Bacterial small subunit ribosomal RNA", at positions 28 to 507 of the family's 1533-position model. The record is from RNAcentral.
GACGAACGCUGGCGGCGUGCUUAACACAUGCAAGUCGAACGGAAAGGCCCUGCUUUUGUGGGGUGCUCGAGUGGCGAACGGGUGAGUAACACGUGAGUAACCUGCCCUUGACUUUGGGAUAACUUCAGGACACUGGGGCUAAUACCGGAUAGGAGCUCCUGCUGCAUGGUGGGGGUUGGAAAGUUUCGGCGGUUGGGGGUGGGCUCGCGGGUUAUCAGGUUGUUGGUGGGGGAGUGGCUUACCAAGGCUUUGACGGGUAGCCGGCCGGAGAGGGUGACCGGGCAAAAUGGGAAUGAGGUAGGGCCCGGAAUGCGACGGGAGGGAGGAGUGGGGGAUAUUGAACAAGGGGAGGAAGCCAGAUGGAGCGAGGCAGGGUGGGGGAUGGCGGAAUGCGGGUUGGAAACUAAUUUCGCUAGGGACAGAGCUUGUAGUGACGGUACCUAGAUAAGAAGCACCGGCUAACUACGUG